This 403-nucleotide ribosomal RNA is filed under the name uncultured Tissierella sp. RNAcentral describes it as "bacterial SSU rRNA". It matches the Rfam family "Bacterial small subunit ribosomal RNA", at positions 356 to 774 of the family's 1533-position model. Lineage: Bacteria; Bacillati; Bacillota; Tissierellia; Tissierellales; Tissierellaceae. The record is from RNAcentral.
GGGGAAUUUUGGGCAAUGGGCGAAAGCCUGACCCAGCGACGCCGCGUUGGGGAUGAAGUCCUUCGGGGCGUAAACCCAUGUUGUAGGGGAAGAAGAAAGUGACGGUACCCUACGAGAAAGCCCCGGCCAACCACGUGCCAGCAGCCGCGGUAAAACGUAGGGGGCAAGCGUUGUCCGGAAUUAUUGGGCGUAAAGGGUUCGCAGGUGGCCUUUUAAGUCAGAUGUGAAAGAUCAAGGCUUAACCUUGGUAAGCAUUUGAAACUGAAAGGCUUGAGUUAAGGAGAGGAAAGUGGAAUUCCUAGUGUAGCGGUGAAAUGCGUAGAUAUUAGGAGGAAUACCAGUGGCGAAGGCGACUUUCUGGACUUAUACUGACACUGAGGAACGAAAGCAUGGGGAGCAAACA